AGGAAAUUAUAUUUUUGGUCCUCACUUUAGAAGGGUUUCUCUGUCUUAUUUUAUUACGUUUUCUGUUUUACAUAUAUCACUUGAAGUUUAUUCCAUAGCUUAAGUGUGUGCUUUAACUUUGUGCAUCCUGACCUCACAUUCCUGAGAUGUGACCUAUGGACAGCAGCUGUCACUCAUUCCCCUACAGAGGAGGGGGAUGCUGACCUCUCGGGCACUGGCCAGCAGAAAUGGAGCCAGCACUCUAAUCUAAACCACCUGAAGAAUAGAGUAUGUCUGUGAGAACCGCUCUGGAUGUCCAGUUCUCAAGAAGAACAAAAGACUGAACUUUGACCCAGAACCUCCAUGGAUUUCCUGCUGUCAAUCUGAUUUGUUGUGGACAGGAAGGGACGGAGUUUACUGCAACACUAGGUGUCCCUUUGAAGUCAUUCCCUGAGGAGAGGAACUGGUCACGGAGAAUGACCCUCUACGAUUGGCUGAAGGAAGAGACGGAUCAUCGAUCAGCCAAUGCAAGUGUUCCAGGGCGGAGAUUCGACGUCAUGUUUUCCGCAGGAGGAGGGAAACCCGAAUUGUCUUUAAAAGUCUGAGCAGAGCAUAAUUUUAUUGUCUUCUUCUGUCUUGUGGUCUUUCAUGUAAAACGCCUGUAACUUCUUGCGUUUUGAAGGCCUUCUAAAAUGAGGACCCAGAUCUGUUUUAAUUCUGUCUUAGAACUUUUGUUAGGGAAUAAACCUUCUGUGACUUUAUCCGGCUGAAUCUUGGUCUUAUAUCUCUCCCGACUAAUAGAACAUGCGUGGAAAAAUCUCAGAGCGAAAGAUAUUUUCCUACAAACUUGGUGACCCGAAACGUGAAGUCGGGGAACGGAACACGGAUCGAGCCGGUGACGUAUUUUUCGUAUUUUUUGAGACUUUCAGUGUAAAGUCUGGGCACGCUUCCUCCCGUCCACUUGGUCGACUUCUCACGCGGCCGCAUACAAAACAGGUAAGCAGAAGCCUGCUGCAAAAUUCUGCAUAUUGAUUAAGUUAUCUCAUAGUUGAAUAACUCAAAUUGAACGAGAUCUCGAGUGAGUGGGCGGUAGAGCUUCCCCCGAAAUAAAUAAAUAAAUAGAUAAAUAAAUAGAUAAAUAGAUAAAUAAAUAAAUAAAUAGAUAAAUAAAUAGAUAAAUACAUAAAUAAAAGUUGACCCAAACUUUAAAGGGAUGGUUGACUGUUAGUUUGUGACACCUAGUGUGCAACAACAGUACAGAAAAGGUAUCCUAGGUUUAUCGGUUGUGUUUGAGGUAAUGUAUUUAAAAAUACAUAAGGUUCCGUCUGUUUGUCCUAGAGAGACGCCCAAGGCGUAAAAACAGUGUAGUAUAGGAACUAAUUUUUGCGCGUUUAGGUAAUUUGGAAGACACUAACGGGGCAGCGGCCUCGACAAAUUAUUUUUUUAGAUGGAGAGUGACCAAAGAAGGAUUCGAAAUUAACAUCAAAGGAAAAUAUGAGGUAUAUGAUGCAUUUUGUCCGGACAAAAUACGACUGGGGUGGAACAGACAAUACGACGACGGACGACGGUGACGAUUUGACUUGACAACAGCGGUGAAAAUGACUUGAAUGUGGAUGAAUGGAAUGGAAUGUAUGAGAUUUUGGAAAGAAUUGGAUGAAAAAGUGUUUGAAAUCUGUGAAUUUUAACUGUAUUUUCCACAUUUCCCUGUGUAUUGUCUGCUCUACGGACGCAGCCAUCUUGCUUAUCAUGUUUACAUCGAACGGACUAAUGACGGGACGUUUUACUUGUUUUCGAAUGUGUAAACGACUGUGAUUGGUUUCGUCUAUACCACGUGGUAAGCGUGACGGAGUCCUAGCCGAAAUUGCGUCGGCAGCUAUGAUUGGCUUUGUUAGUACCACGUGGCCGGCGAGCCGGCGUCCCCGGAAAUCGUAAUGGCGAAACACGCUAAACUUUUACAGUUAGAGUUUGGGAUCUAAUCUGCGGUAAAAUCAUGGCGGGGAUCGUCGUUAUCGAGCGUGGUCAUGACCUCGGUUGUAAGACGUCGUUUAAAAACAAAUUUCAGUGGGUUUUCAGUUCGCAGAAAAAGGUUUUUAAGUAGCGCUGCGCCUCCGACGGAAGCCUCUGUCACCACGGCGAGGAGAUGACUGCAUGCAGCAGCCGUCUCUGGUCGAACGAAAACUACUUUCUCGGGAGGUUCCCCAAAUCUUUUCAAAAACAUGGAAAGGCAGCCCAGAUAAGAGUGAAGUCCAGACCCCUCCUUAACCCUCAUAAAUCUUUAUGCAGAACAUUCUUCUGCCUAAGGGAUACAAGAGCAUGAGCAGAUGCUCACACCUCCCCCAAAAGGACCUCAGUUAGCCAGAAGGGGGCCGAGUCAGAGGUGACUGACCCUGAGGUUAAGAUAACUACUUCAAUCAUGUAAAGUAUUACUGCACAUUUGCAGGUAAUAGAAAGGAGAAAGGGAGGAGUUGAGCAGCUGAAAAAUCCACACAUGAUAAAUGGUGUUUAAAAAUAAUAACAUGAAUUUUGAGUUUUGAUGCCCUCAGAGACAGCAGAAGCGACGUGUUAUGCUCAGCCAUUCGUAAGUCGGGGACAGGAGAACAUGGUGAAAACCCUGGGACACGUGAGCCACCCAGGAGACCCUAGCAGCAUCUGGAAAUGGCAUCUGUGGCACUCCAAACCCUUGGGCAUGUGAUAGCCCACAACGAGGUACCCAACAGCAGAAUGCACAGACCCAGAGGCAGAGGGUCUGGAGGAAAAAUGAACAGUACCCACGACCACCCCAAGCCCCUCCUCCACCGUGGCGAGGACCACAGGGCAAGUCGGACAAUACCACUUGAUGAUGCAGGAGCCAUUGUCUUUUCCAAGAUGAGAGGUAACCACUGAUGACUCUAGUGGACACUACCUGCUCUGACAAAUGAACAAAUGACUCCUCAAAACCUGCAAAAGACCAUCCGACUGACUUUUGACCAGAUGGUGGAACAUUCAUGUAUGCAUUCACUAAACACGCCUGUGAAUCUGUUGGGACGGGACAGUCUUGUCAAAAACAGGAGCCAGCAGACUGGAUGCCAUGCCAGACCCCACAGCCAACCCCCACUGCAGACAACCAGAGGGCCCUGAAACGCCAGGUGGUUUCAUGGGUUUCAGGCGUGAAAGCCAUGACUCCUGUCCUCAAAGCUCUAUUUCCGCCUCCGAAUGGUCUGACCUGUACACUCUAGGAUUGACAGUACACGGUAAUAUUUCAGCAGGUAGAAGGCCACACGUGGCAUUUGAACUACACUGACAUAUAUUAGCCCUGAGGGCGAGCAGCUUAUUGUGCAUUCAUACACUCACAAAUGCAAUGAUACUAGCUGUCAGACACAGCUGUAUCCCACAUAGGAUUAGCACCCCCCUGGUCAUGAGGCUCUGCAACUCAGUCCUAUGACUAAGUGGGGCAUGAACAACACAUUGGUAGAAUUGUGUUUUUCAGGUGUUCACUUUCUUCCCUCAAUAAAAAUGUACAGGUUAACCGUUCAUCCAACGACAAAUUCCUGAGUUCUGGACCAUUUCUGUAUUGACAAACAUCGUGGCAGACAGAAGACAGCUCAUGAAGAUGCAGAGGUGCUGUUAAACACGCUCUCUGAUGCUUCAUGCUCCACAGGUUCAUUUGAUGUUGGUUCAUGUUCCACGCUUCCCUAGUGGUGCUUCAGGUAAUUGCAGGAGCACAAGUUUUUAGAUUUCAGUAAUGCUGGUGCAGGAAGCUGAUGGAGGGAUGAAGGAAACUUAGACUGGUUUGUGGAACUCUGGUGUAGCAUUCACAUUCUUCGUAGUACUUCUUUUAGACUGGUCUUGAAAGCAGAUGGUAAAAUUUAUUGCAUAGCAUAUGAUUUAAGGACUGUUAAUUAUGUCACUAUUACUCUAGUUCUACCCGUUCCUGAUCCAUAUUGCAUGUUGUCAACUUUAGCUCAACAAUGUGUGUUGUUCACUGCCAUUGAUUUAGCAAACCCUUAUUUUUGCAUUCCAUUACGUGAAAAUAGCGGACAGUUAUUCGCAUUUUAGUACAUAGGUGUUAAUAAAAUUUCCUGGCAUUUUCAGUCACUGUUUGCAGUCUCUCUGACAGGAUAUUGUGCUACUAGAGGGUAGCAGCUAGCAGCUCCGACUGUUGAAACCUGCCUGUGAGUAGUAAAAGAUCUUGUUGCAAUUGUAUGUUUGAGUUUUGAAAUGCAACAGGAAUUUGCACUUUAGCAGAAGGGAAGUCUCAUUUUUAGGCAGAACUGUUUUUAGCACAGGUUUUUCACUGUAUAUAGAGCGUAGAAUGUCUAAUUUGCAGCAUAAACAUCUGGACAUAGUUUGGACAUGUUGGUUUUCUUGUGGUUGUAGUGGACACUUCUUUGUUUUGUGAAACACAUGGACCCCUUGAGGUUGAUGAUAAAUGACGAGGGUGUGACUAACCUUAUGGCAGUAAGGCCACGACAAUACGUGGUUCCAUUUCUUUCUGUUGUUAUCUUGCCUUCCAUAGGACUGUGGACAAACCGCUUGUUCACCUUACCGGUGCACAAAACUGUUUCUAUAUUUUUACUUUCAAUUGCUCUAGUUUGUGUAUUUAUGCCUUAUCUUUGUUUAGAUCUGCAUGGUUUCACCCAACUAGUGUCCUGGGGUUCCCCCCAGGCCAAGAGAGGGUGGAAAGGAGGUAUUCAUGAUUCGUUGCAGGAAAUUGUUUUAGUAUUAUCAUGGUUUCAAUUAUCUUUGUUUCAAUUAUCAUCGUUUGAAUGUAUUUGUUUAGAAAGAAGGUUUAAAUGUUAAUUUUGAUAGACCUUUUUACCUUUUUAGAGCUUUGUGUGUCUGUUCAUCUGGUUAUCUCAUCCACAGCGAGGAUGAAGGGGUUUUACCACACUGUCCUGAGGUGAUAAGUAAUGCUGGUGGAGUUAGAAUCCACCACAUGGGUCAUUAGACGACAGCCCCUAAUAAACUUGUCUUUAUCUUGAAUUUGCAUACUCCCACCUAUGUUUUUCAUGAAAACGGCACGAGGAGAAGCAGACUAUGGAGAGGACAAAGUGGUGGACAUUUCCAUCACAUCUCUUCUGUGCAUUUUUAUUCUUGUCUUGUUUUGUCAUUGUUUUAUUUUAUUAUUGUCUUUUGUUCUUGUUUUAUUUUUUAAGUUUCUGACCCUAACCCUAAUCAAUAUUUAGAUCCACAGCAGACUCAUCUUGGGGAGACACCCCAAGCUCUUUUGCAGCCGUUCUGUUGUAUUAAAUGUGUCAGAUUGAAUAAUUACCAGGCUUAUUCAGAAGUCCAUAGGAGGCCAGGUCCAAGCUUGCCAGAGCUUGUGGGACAUGCAGGAGGAGGACACGAGUGGUUAAGGCCCUGAAUGACUUUUUGGAUUUUGUUGCAAUACUAACUAACUAACAAACUAAGAAUAUUAACUAAGAAUAUUGCUAUUCUUAUUUAUGUGGGCCAUAUGAAUUGCAGCUUCUCCGAUGGGACCACCAUGGAGGACAUGGAAGAAAUUUUCUGAAUUAGGCUUGAUGUCAUGUUUAACAUUUCUAUUUUUACUCUUUCGUUGCCUGUGUGAUUUUUGAUUCUGCCUUAAUAUGUCUCAAUUUCUCCCCUUAAUUCCAGGUGUUCUUUUCUUACAGGAAGUGUUAUUUUGAUUGUCUUUGCUCUCUUUUUAUAUUUUUAUACUUUUUAUACUAUAAUAUACAAGAAUGCUUCUGUCUGAAUGUAGGCUGAUAUGUUUUGAUUGUGUAAUGUGAUAAUGUGUUUUUAUUUUUGUGUGGCCUCACUUCAUGAGGCCAAGAGAGGGAACUGAAGGAAAUUAUAUUUUUGGUCCUCACUUUAGAAGGGUUUCUCUGUCUUAUUUUAUUACGUUUUCUGUUUUACAUAUAUCACUUGAAGUUUAUUCCAUAGCUUAAGUGUGUGCUUUAACUUUGUGCAUCCUGACCUCACAUUCCUGAGAUGUGACCUAUGGACAGCAGCUGUCACUCAUUCCCCUACAGAGGAGGGGGAUGCUGACCUCUCGGGCACUGGCCAGCAGAAAUGGAGCCAGCACUCUAAUCUAAACCACCUGAAGAAUAGAGUAUGUCUGUGAGAACCGCUCUGGAUGUCCAGUUCUCAAGAAGAACAAAAGACUGAACUUUGACCCAGAACCUCCAUGGAUUUCCUGCUGUCAAUCUGAUUUGUUGUGGACAGGAAGGGACGGAGUUUACUGCAACACUAGGUGUCCCUUUGAAGUCAUUCCCUGAGGAGAGGAACUGGUCACGGAGAAUGACCCUCUACGAUUGGCUGAAGGAAGAGACGGAUCAUCGAUCAGCCAAUGCAAGUGUUCCAGGGCGGAGAUUCGACGUCAUGUUUUCCGCAGGAGGAGGGAAACCCGAAUUGUCUUUAAAAGUCUGAGCAGAGCAUAAUUUUAUUGUCUUCUUCUGUCUUGUGGUCUUUCAUGUAAAACGCCUGUAACUUCUUGCGUUUUGAAGGCCUUCUAAAAUGAGGACCCAGAUCUGUUUUAAUUCUGUCUUAGAACUUUUGUUAGGGAAUAAACCUUCUGUGACUUUA
Oryzias latipes (Japanese medaka) is the source of this 6504-nucleotide long non-coding RNA. RefSeq lists it as uncharacterized. Lineage: Eukaryota; Metazoa; Chordata; Actinopteri; Beloniformes; Adrianichthyidae. The record is from RefSeq and is a predicted model, not a curated record.